This 276-nucleotide long non-coding RNA is filed under the name Gallus gallus (chicken). The record is from RNAcentral. Lineage: Eukaryota; Metazoa; Chordata; Aves; Galliformes; Phasianidae.
CCGAUGUCUUCAUCGCUAAUAUGUAAGGUAGUCUUCAAAGACCACAGGUGCAGCUCAGUCAGGCAGAAAGUCAUCUGAUGGCAGAUGGGAGCCCUGGCACUUUUCAACCCUGACACCGCUGUUUUCGAUACUUCAGGAGCUGUCAGAGGGUCGGUCUCGAUCAAACCACGGGAAGCCUGCGCACGCGCAGCAGCCACGCGGCGCGCGAUGUCCUCCUCCUUCCUUCCUCUCCGGACGGCGCCGACUCCUCCCCUCGCGCGCAUGCGCACGGCUGGC